AGGGUGCGUAGGCGGCGCGGUAAGUCGGGUGUGAAAUCUCGGGGCUUAACUCCGAAACUGCAUUCGAUACUGCCGUGCUUGAGGACUGGAGAGGAGACUGGAAUUUACGGUGUAGCAGUGAAAUGCGUAGAUAUCGUAAGGAAGACCAGUGGCGAAGGCGGGUCUCUAGACAGUUCCUGACGCUGAAGUACGAAGGCCAGGGGAGCAAACGGGAUUAGAUACCCCGGUAGUCCUGGCAGUAAACGGUGCACGUUUGGUGUGGGAGGAUUCGACCCCUUCUGCGCCGGAGCUAACGCGUUAAACGUGCCGCCUGGGGAGUACGGUCGCAAGAUUAAAACUCAAAGAAAUUGACGGGGGCCCGCACAAGCGGUGGAGUAUGUGGCUUAAUUCGAUGCAACGCGAAGAACCUUACCUGGCCUUGACAUGCAUCUCUAAACCGGUGAAAGCCGGUGAGUGUAGCAAUACACAAUUUGCACAGGUGCUGCAUGGCUGUCGUCAGCUCGUGUCGUGAGAUGUUGGGUUAAGUCCCGCAACGAGCGCAACCCCUGUGAACUGUUGCCACCAAGCCGUGAGGCUUGAGCACUCUGUUCAGACUGCCCCUUUUCAAAGGGGAGGAAGGUGGGGACGACGUCAAGUCAGUAUGGCCCUUACGGCCAGGGCUGCACACGUACUACAAUGCCCAGUACAGAACGAUCCGAGACCGCGAGGUGGAGGAAAUCUAUCAAAACUGGGCCCAGUUCGGAUUGAAGUCUGCAACCCGACUUCAUGAAGCCGGAAUCGCUAGUAAUGGCGCAUCAGCUACGGCGCCGUGAAUACGUUCCCGGGCCUUGUACACACCGCCCGUCACAUCAUGGGAGUCGCUUGUAGCCGAAGUGCAUGUGCCAACCCGCAAGGGACGCAGU
This 902-nucleotide ribosomal RNA is filed under the name uncultured bacterium. RNAcentral describes it as "bacterial SSU rRNA". It matches the Rfam family "Bacterial small subunit ribosomal RNA", at positions 564 to 1453 of the family's 1533-position model. The record is from RNAcentral.